GACGAACGCUGGCGGCGUGCUUAACACAUGCAAGUCGAGCGGUAAGGCCCUUUCGGGGGUACACGAGCGGCGAACGGGUGAGUAACACGUGGGUGACCUGCCCUCAGCUCUGGGAUAAGCCUGGGAAACUGGGUCUAAUACUGGAUAUGACUCCACGGUGCAUGUCGUGGGGUGGAAAGCCUUGUGCGGCUGAGGAUGGGCCCGCGGCCUAUCAGCUUGUUGGUGGGGUGAUGGCUACCAAGGCGACGACGGGUAGCCGGCCUGAGAGGGCGACCGGCCACACUGGGACUGAGACACGGCCCAGACUCCUACGGGAGGCAGCAGUGGGGAAUCUUGCGCAAUGGGCGAAAGCCUGACGCGGCGACGCCGCGUGAGGGAUGACGGCCU
This 387-nucleotide ribosomal RNA is filed under the name uncultured bacterium. RNAcentral's name for it is "bacterial SSU rRNA". It matches the Rfam family "Bacterial small subunit ribosomal RNA", at positions 28 to 417 of the family's 1533-position model. The record is from RNAcentral.